AUGCCGGACAAGACCCAAUGGCCUAAAUCUGACCAUGGAUUCUUCAUGCAUCCACCACUAUUGAAGGCCACAGCUGGUAGGCGUAAAACUGAGAGGUACAAAGGUUGUGGUGAGAAGGAAAGGAAAAGUGGUCAACACUUAUGCCCUAUUUGUAAGGAAUAUGGGCAUCAUUGGCACAAAUGUAAGAAGGGAAACCCAGAGGACAUUGCUGCAAUGAUGGAUGUGAGACAACCACCAAAGAAAAGGACAAAGACAACCAAAACAGCUGAGUUAUCCAUUGUGCCUUGCGAAGAUGGAGUACCAACAAGAAUGUGUUUUCCCCCAAGCAAAAGCUUGGAGAAUACAAACAAAAUGGGAAAAGGGGGGAAAUCUGAAUCGGUUCGAUCCAAGAGAUCAAGAACCGGCUCAAAACAGCCGGAGCCAAUUUCCAUCGAGUUUCCUAUGCCCGGCGAUGAAACAAAUGUUCCUGCGAAGGUUAGGGUAUGUGAUGCAUGCCAACUA
This 501-nucleotide ribosomal RNA is filed under the name Triticum aestivum (bread wheat). RNAcentral's name for it is "partial small subunit ribosomal RNA". The record is from RNAcentral. Lineage: Eukaryota; Viridiplantae; Streptophyta; Magnoliopsida; Poales; Poaceae.